This 254-nucleotide ribosomal RNA is filed under the name uncultured bacterium. RNAcentral's name for it is "partial 16S ribosomal RNA". It matches the Rfam family "Bacterial small subunit ribosomal RNA", at positions 524 to 776 of the family's 1533-position model. The record is from RNAcentral.
UACGGAGGGAGCUAGCGUUGUUCGGAAUUACUGGGCGUAAAGCGCGCGUAGGCGGCUUUGUAAGUUAGAGGUGAAAGCCCGGGGCUCAACCCCGGAACUGCCUUUAAGACUGCAUCGCUUGAAUCCGGGAGAGGUGAGUGGAAUUCCGGAGUGUAGAGGUGAAAUUCGUAGAUAUUCGGAAGAACACCAGUGGCGAAGGCGGCUCACUGGACCGGCAUUGACGCUGAUGUGCGAAAGCGUGGGGAGCAAACAGG